Molecule: ribosomal RNA, 843 nt
Filed under: Epicoccum cf. duchesneae
Lineage: Eukaryota; Fungi; Ascomycota; Dothideomycetes; Pleosporales; Didymellaceae
Description: partial large subunit ribosomal RNA
Rfam family: Eukaryotic large subunit ribosomal RNA
Source: RNAcentral
ACAGGGAUUGCCCUAGUAACGGCGAGUGAAGCGGCAACAGCUCAAAUUUGAAAUCUGGCGUCUUCGGCGUCCGAGUUGUAAUUUGCAGAGGGCGCUUUGGCAUUGGCAGCGGUCCAAGUUCCUUGGAACAGGACGUCACAGAGGGUGAGAAUCCCGUACGUGGUCGCUAGCCUUUACCGUGUAAAGCCCCUUCGACGAGUCGAGUUGUUUGGGAAUGCAGCUCUAAAUGGGAGGUAAAUUUCUUCUAAAGCUAAAUACUGGCCAGAGACCGAUAGCGCACAAGUAGAGUGAUCGAAAGAUGAAAAGCACUUUGGAAAGAGAGUUAAAAAGCACGUGAAAUUGUUGAAAGGGAAGCGCUUGCAGCCAGACUUGCCUGUAGUUGCUCAUCCGGGUUUCUACCCGGUGCACUCUUCUAUAGGCAGGCCAGCAUCAGUUUGGGCGGUUGGAUAAAGGUCUCUGUCAUGUACCUCCUCUCGGGGAGAACUUAUAGGGGAGACGACAUGCAACCAGCCCGGACUGAGGUCCGCGCAUCUGCUAGGAUGCUGGCGUAAUGGCUGUAAGCGGCCCGUCUUGAAACACGGACCAAGGAGUCUAACAUCUAUGCGAGUGUUUGGGUGUCAAGCCCGAGCGCGUAAUGAAAGUGAACGGAGGUGGGAACCUUUCGGGGUGCACCAUCGACCGAUCCUGAUGUCUUCGGAUGGAUUUGAGUAAGAGCAUAGCUGUUGGGACCCGAAAGAUGGUGAACUAUGCUUGAAUAGGGUGAAGCCAGAGGAAACUCUGGUGGAGGCUCGCAGCGGUUCUGACGUGCAAAUCGAUCGUCAAAUUUGGGCAUAGGGGCGAAAG